UUUGUGCUUCUCUUAGAUUAAUAAAUUUUACCUUUUUUUAUGUUUUUUCAUCUUCAUCUUCAUCUUCCUCUUGAAGAGAGUGAGAGUGAGACAGAAUCUGUAGGAUAUAUAUACAUAUAAAUCGUCAGAAUAAUUCUGAAUAAUUCUGAACAAUUCUCAAGUUGAAGUUGGACAAAGGAAAGGAUAAGUUGAAGUGAACCUCUGUUUAACCAAAUUUGUUUAAUGUCCAACAAUUGAAUCUUCAACAUUGAUUAAUCACUGUAAAUUGUUGACAAUUGCGUUAAUUAAAUCAAAUUAAAUUGUGUCUCUGGAAUGUAAACAUUUUGGACUAAACAAUUGGACAAAAUUUUGUGAUUUAAAAUAUUCCUCUUCAGUUUCAUUGUUAAUCAACUUUUGCGAGAUAAUUAACUGAUUGUGUGUUACACCCGUGUCUGUGUGUGUGUCCAACCUGAUUAUGGGUUCAUCACUGGUCAUCUCUUUGAGAAGGGUUAACCCAUGUUUAGGUUGCGCUAUUACCGUCUAUGCGAUCCUUUUAAUGGUCACUCUCUUUACACCUGGUACAGUUGGUGGGGUUGCUCGGUGUUUUAAUAUAUGCCAGCGAUCCGAGUUUGAAAUGAAAUGUCGACGUUGCCGAUGGCGAGAACCUUUACGAUUUGGUAAACGAAAUGGUGAUCUGGAGUCGGAUUAUAUUCACUCGAAAGGUUCCUUCAUUUCUUCCCCUUCUUGGACUAAUCCAUCAUCGGAUGAUGAUAAAUUUAAUCAAUUAUCAACUAAUCAUCAAAGAUCAUCAUUACCAAUCUCCUCUUCAUCUACAUCAUCAAUUUCAUCUUCACUGUUACCUUCAAAGCAAAAUCAACUUUUACUUCAAUAUUUAUUGACUGAUGUGUUUAACAAUCAACCGAUGACAAGUUUAAUUGAAACUUGGAGUGAUAAUAAUAAUGUUAAUAAUGUUGAUAAUGUUGACAAUUUAAACAUUGAUAAGAGUGAUAAUAGGCAGUUAAUACACGAUUAAAUUGCUCAUCUGAGCUUCUGGGUUCUUUUCAUUAAGAAUUUUUUCUCGUUUUCUUCAUUUUCUGUGUUAAUCUUAUUCACAAUAUUUGCUUCAAAACAAAUGUAACAAUCCUGUUAAUCUGUAAUCUCAUUUUAACCUUUUCAACAUUUUAUCAUUAAAAUGCUAUCAUCAUCUGUUUAACCCUUUA
Molecule: long non-coding RNA, 1199 nt
Organism: Tetranychus urticae (two-spotted spider mite)
Lineage: Eukaryota; Metazoa; Arthropoda; Arachnida; Trombidiformes; Tetranychidae
Source: RefSeq, a predicted model, not a curated record